Molecule: ribosomal RNA, 447 nt
Filed under: uncultured bacterium
Lineage: Bacteria
Description: partial 16S ribosomal RNA
Rfam family: Bacterial small subunit ribosomal RNA
Source: RNAcentral
CCCCAGACUCCUACGGGAGGCAGCAGUGGGGGAUAUUGCACAAUGGGGGAAACCCUGAUGCAGCGACGCCGCGUGAGUGAAGAAGUACUUCGUUACGUAAAGCUCUAUCAGCAGGGAAGAAAAUGACGGUACCUGACUAAGAAGCCCCGGCUAACUACGUGCCAGCAGCCGCGGUAAUACGUAGGGGGCAAGCGUUAUCCGGAAUUACUGGGUGUAAAGGGGGCGCAGACGGCAGCGCAAGCCAGGAGUGAAAGCCCGGGGCCCAACCCCGGGACUGCUCUUGGAACUGCGCGGCUGGAGUGCAGGAGGGGCAGGCGGAAUUCCUGGUGUAGCGGUGAAAUGCGUAGAUAUCAGGAGGAACACCGGUGGCGAAGGCGGCCUGCUGGACUGCGACUGACGUUGAGGCCCGAAAGCGUGGGGAGCAAACAGGAUUAGAUACCCGCGUAU